RNAcentral lists this long non-coding RNA (613 nucleotides) under Gorilla gorilla gorilla (western lowland gorilla). RNAcentral's name for it is "lncRNA (ENSGGOG00000044547.1)". The record is from RNAcentral. Lineage: Eukaryota; Metazoa; Chordata; Mammalia; Primates; Hominidae.
CAAAAAGGCUGCAAGAAGGGUGUUGGAGGGUCUCCUGGAGGCUGCCAAGGGCAUUUUCUCAUGGAGCCCACGUCUCUCCCCGAUCCUGGUGGCUGUGAUCGGUAAUUCCAGCUUCAUACUGGCUACAGGUGGAUGAUGCCCACCUGGCUGCCGAUGACUUCUGCACCAAGUGAGGCUGGGUCUCUGGAGCUGCCCCAGGGGCUGGACAAGCUGACCCUGCCUGGAGCCAAGCUGGAGAUGCAGCCUGAGAACCUCAAGGAGGACGUGGUCUACCUGAAGAAGAACCAUGAGGAGGAAAUGAACGCCCUUUGAGGUCAGGUGGACGAGGAUGUCAGUGUGAAGAUGGACACUGUGCCUGGAGUGAACCUGAGCUGCAUCCUGAAUGAGAUGUGUGACCAGGACAAGAAACUGGUGGAGAAGAGCUGCAAGGAUGCCCAGGGUUGGUUGUUCAGCGUGGUGGGUGGCCGUGUGUAAGCAGGUGUGCACACGUGUGGGCACAUAUGCUGUGUGCUGGUGCAGCUGGCAGAUUCACAGGCUGUCCCAGUUGGAAGGACUUUUGGAAACCAGUCGGACCAGCCCUUCAUGUCUUCGACGUAAAAUAGAGAGGGGCUGA